AAUUAUUGAACUUGUUAUAAGUUUAUAUUUUGAAAAUAUAAAAAAGAAGUAAAAUCUUCUAAUAAUUU
RNAcentral lists this transfer RNA (68 nucleotides) under Staphylinidae sp. BMNH 1274637. Its description in RNAcentral is "tRNA-Ser". Lineage: Eukaryota; Metazoa; Arthropoda; Insecta; Coleoptera; Staphylinidae. The record is from RNAcentral.